UAAUGUGGAGAGGCCUGGGGCCUUUCCCUGAGGACUGGAUGGCUGGAGUUUGGGAGCCUGAGUUGACAGAGGAGGCUAAGCCCGGGCAGCUACUUUGUUCCAGAAAUCUAAGGUCCCUGGAGGGAGGCUCUGCUUUGGGAGGGGGAAGGGAGCUAACAUUGCAGAGCACCAACUGUGAACCAGGUACAAUGGCAGAGCCUUUCCAUACCUGUACUCACAACUAGCGGGUGAGGAGUCAAGGCAAAUAGGUGUCUCAUAGCUCCCCAUAUCUCGGCAGUCGACCACCUCCUCCUUUGAUUCUCUGAUGUCACUGCCAGUUCUCCUCCUAUUGCUCUGACCUGUCUUUCUCUGUGUCCUUUGCAAACUCAUUCUCAACUCCUUAGACUCAGUCAAGUCCCCCAGUUACACACUUCCAUGGUACUAUAUAUCGUUCCUUCAGAGCACUUAACACAGUUAUUUCCUAUGUAUUUGUCCAGUCAUUUGAAUAAUGAUCCUAGUUUCAUUGGAUGGAAAGUUCCACAAGGUCAGUGACCAUUUCUAUCUGUGUUCACCAAUGUGUUCCCAGUGCCCAGAAACAAUGCCUAGCAUAAAGCAGCUGUUUUGUAAAUACUUGUUCAAUGAAUGAAUAAAUGACAAAAGAACAUC
This 645-nucleotide long non-coding RNA is filed under the name Pan troglodytes (chimpanzee). Its description in RNAcentral is "lincRNA". Lineage: Eukaryota; Metazoa; Chordata; Mammalia; Primates; Hominidae. The record is from RNAcentral.